Molecule: long non-coding RNA, 1102 nt
Organism: Oreochromis aureus
Lineage: Eukaryota; Metazoa; Chordata; Actinopteri; Cichliformes; Cichlidae
Exons: 3
Source: RefSeq, a predicted model, not a curated record
CUGGUUGCGAGCCGGGAACAAGCUCACAAAGAGCACGCGCAUUUUUUGCGGUCCGGAGCUGUAGGAGAAACACAAAUCAACUCAGACACAGACUGAUGCGACAAAACCAUCUCAGAUCAACACAGCCCUGCCCUCCAGCACUAUCAGCAGCAGGAGCAGCAGCAACCCCUCAACAGCAACAUUGUACCCAUCAGACAUCCCUGGACCUGUCCCUGUUACCUGUCUGAAUCAUCUGAGAGCGACUGAGUGGCAACGUACAAGUGGAGCGGAAGUGUGAGUGACUGCAGAGGAGAGUGGAGCGAUUACAGAAGAGCAUCGUUUGUGUGUGUGGACUUUUCCCCCUAUAUUUUCCCCUCAGAGCCCUGGUACCCUGCACAUUGUAUGUAUUGCACUUGGUGAACUUUGUAAUUAAAGCUAACUAUCUUUUGAAAAGGAGCCUUGGUCUAUGCUUUUGUCUGUUUGACAUCCUGACAAUCUCAGGUUUUCUCUCAGGUUCAGGAAAAUCCCUCACUGCUUGUGAACAUUCUUCUCAUCACAUUGAGUUUAAAAGCAAAGUCCUGAUAAAUUAACUGUGGAUUCUAAUAGUUACAAUGUGUGGUGUUCUACUUUUUUGUUCUACUUUUCCAAAUGUUACUGUUUGUAAAUAAAUACACAAUAAAUAUUGUAGUCACUUCAAAAGAAAGAAAUCUCCAAUCAAAUAACCAAUGAAACAGCCAUUUUAAUGUGAGCACAAACAGAGACUGAAGCAAAAAGCCCGGCAUUUCAGACAAAGUUGAAAACUACUGUUGUGAUACUGUUAUCUUCAGUUGGGUUUUUAGGUUUUAUCAUGCUUGUUAACUGAAAAAGCUCUGAUUGUGUCAAACCUCCUUCCUACAGAGGUGGCAAAAGUACAGACAUUCUAUACUUACGUGGAAGUACAGACAUCUGUGUUAAAAAGUACUCCAGUAAAAGUUGAAGUACUAAAGCAACUUUGUUACUCAAAUGAGAAAGUAAAAGGUACCUCCUCAAAGAACGUUUCUACCAUCUAUUUUGGUGUAAAGCUAACUGAACCUUGUGCUAUAUUAAAGUAAUAAUGAAAUAAUAUUUGUCCAUGGGAAUACAA